RNAcentral lists this ribosomal RNA (546 nucleotides) under Cryptorhynchini gen. sp. ARC0909. Its description in RNAcentral is "partial 16S ribosomal RNA". It matches the Rfam family "Bacterial large subunit ribosomal RNA", at positions 1819 to 2633 of the family's 2925-position model. The record is from RNAcentral. Lineage: Eukaryota; Metazoa; Arthropoda; Insecta; Coleoptera; Curculionidae.
GGCCUAUUGAGUAUAAUUUUAGGUYUGACCUGCCCAAUGAUUUAAGAUUGAAUGGCCGCGGUAAUUUGACCGUGCAAAGGUAGCAUAAUCAUUAGUUUUUUAAUUGAAAGCUUGUAUGAAGGGUUUGAUGAAAAAAUGACUGUCUCUAUUUAAAUUAAUUAGAAUUUUAUUUUUAAGUAAAAAAGCUUAAAUAUUUAUAGAAGACGAGAAGACCCUAUAGAGUUUUAUAUUUAUAGAUAUAAAAAGAGUUUAGUAUUUAUAUUUUUUAUAUUUAUUUUUAUUUGGUUGGGGUGAUAGAAAAAUUAAAUAAACUUUUUUUUUAUGAAAACAUUAAUAUAUGAAAACUUGAUCCUUUAUUUAAGAUUAAAAGAUUAAAUUACCUUAGGGAUAACAGCGUAAUUUUUUUUUAGAGUUCAAAUUAAAAAAAAAGAUUGCGACCUCGAUGUUGGAUUAAAAAGAAUUAUUGGUGUAGAAGCUAAUAAAUUAGGUCUGUUCGACCUUUAAAAUUUUACAUGAUCUGAGUUUAAACCGGUGUGAGCCAGGUCG